AGAGGGAUAGCCCAGAGAAAUUUGGAUUAAUACCUCAUAGUAUAAUUGAAUGGCAUCAUUUAAUUAUUAAAGUCACAACGGUAAAAGAUGAGCAUGCGUCCCAUUAGCUAGUUGGUAAGGUAACGGCUUACCAAGGCUACGAUGGGUAGGGGUCCUGAGAGGGAGAUCCCCCACACUGGUACUGAGACACGGACCAGACUCCUACGGGAGGCAGCAGUGAGGAAUAUUGGACAAUGGGCGCAAGCCUGAUCCAGCCAUGCCGCGUGCAGGAUGACGGUCCUAUGGAUUGUAAACUGCUUUUGUACAGGAAGAAACACUGGUUCGUGAACCAGCUUGACGGUACUGUAAGAAUAAGGAUCGUCUAACUCCGUGCCAGCAGCCGCGGUAAUACGGAGGAUCCAAGCGUUAUCCGGAAUCAUUGGGUUUAAAGGGUCCGUAGGCGGUUUGGUAAGUCAGUGGUGAAAGCCCAUCGCUCAACGGUGGAACGGCCAUUGAUACUGCUAGACUUGAAUUAUUAGGAAGUAACUAGAAUAUGUAGUGUAGCGGUGAAAUGCUUAGAGAUUACAUGGAAUACCAAUUGCGAAGGCAGGUUACUACUAAUAUAUUGACGCUGAUGGACGAA
This 622-nucleotide ribosomal RNA is filed under the name Flavobacterium sp. RNAcentral's name for it is "bacterial SSU rRNA". It matches the Rfam family "Bacterial small subunit ribosomal RNA", at positions 137 to 757 of the family's 1533-position model. Lineage: Bacteria; Pseudomonadati; Bacteroidota; Flavobacteriia; Flavobacteriales; Flavobacteriaceae. The record is from RNAcentral.